This 453-nucleotide ribosomal RNA is filed under the name uncultured Streptococcus sp. RNAcentral describes it as "bacterial SSU rRNA". It matches the Rfam family "Bacterial small subunit ribosomal RNA", at positions 925 to 1382 of the family's 1533-position model. Lineage: Bacteria; Bacillati; Bacillota; Bacilli; Lactobacillales; Streptococcaceae. The record is from RNAcentral.
ACAAGCGGUGGAGCAUGUGGUUUAAUCGAAGCAACGCGAAGAACCUUACCAGGUCUUGACAUCCCGAUGCUAUUCUAGAGAUAGAAGUUACUUCGGUACAUCGGUGACAGGUGGUGCAUGGUUGUCGUCAGCUCGUGUCGUGAGAUGUUGGGUUAAGUCCCGCAACGAGCGCAACCCCUAUUGUUAGUUGCCAUCAUUCAGUUGGGCACUCUAGCGAGACUGCCGGUAAUAAACCGGAGGAAGGUGGGGAUGACGUCAAAUCAUCAUGCCCCUUAUGACCUGGGCUACACACGUGCUACAAUGGUUGGUACAACGAGUUGCGAGUCGGUGACGGCGAGCUAAUCUCUUAAAGCCAAUCUCAGUUCGGAUUGUAGGCUGCAACUCGCCUACAUGAAGUCGGAAUCGCUAGUAAUCGCGGAUCAGCACGCCGCGGUGAAUACGUUCCCGGGCCUU